RNAcentral lists this transfer RNA (73 nucleotides) under Sphaerodactylus townsendi. RNAcentral describes it as "tRNA-Gly". The record is from RNAcentral. Lineage: Eukaryota; Metazoa; Chordata; Lepidosauria; Squamata; Sphaerodactylidae.
GCCUGUUUAACUCAGUUGAUUGAGUGUUUGCCUGCCGAUUAAAAGGUUGCUGGUUCAAUGCCAGCCGGGGAUA